GUCUUUGUAGUUUAUAGAAAAUAUUAGUCUUGUAAGCUAAAGUAGAAUUAUCCAAAGACUC
This 61-nucleotide transfer RNA is filed under the name Eulimnogammarus verrucosus. Its description in RNAcentral is "tRNA-Thr". Lineage: Eukaryota; Metazoa; Arthropoda; Malacostraca; Amphipoda; Eulimnogammaridae. The record is from RNAcentral.